This 483-nucleotide ribosomal RNA is filed under the name uncultured bacterium. RNAcentral's name for it is "partial 16S ribosomal RNA". It matches the Rfam family "Bacterial small subunit ribosomal RNA", at positions 30 to 507 of the family's 1533-position model. The record is from RNAcentral.
AUUGAACGCUGGCGGCAGGCCUAACACAUGCAAGUCGAGCGGAUGAAGGGAGCUUGCUCCUGGAUUCAGCGGCGGACGGGUGAGUAAUGCCUAGGAAUCUGCCUGGUAGUGGGGGAUAACGUCCGGAAACGGGCGCUAAUACCGCAUACGUCCUGAGGGAGAAAGUGGGGGAUCUUCGGACCUCACGCUAUCAGAUGAGCCUAGGUCGGAUUAGCUAGUUGGUGGGGUAAAGGCCUACCAAGGCGACGAUCCGUAACUGGUCUGAGAGGAUGAUCAGUCACACUGGAACUGAGACACGGUCCAGACUCCUACGGGAGGCAGCAGUGGGGAAUAUGGGACAAUGGGCGAAAGCCUGAUCCAGCCAUGCCGCGUGUGUGAAGAAGGUCUUCGGAUUGUAAAGCACUUUAAGUGGGAGGAAGGGCAGUAAGUUAAUACCUUGCUGUUUUGACGUUACCAACAGAAUAAGCACCGGCUAACUUCGUG